Molecule: unclassified non-coding RNA, 206 nt
Filed under: Hevea brasiliensis (rubber tree)
Lineage: Eukaryota; Viridiplantae; Streptophyta; Magnoliopsida; Malpighiales; Euphorbiaceae
Source: RNAcentral
GAGCAAGUAAUGCAUCCUAGUGUGGUCACCAUGGUUGUUGUAAAAAUUGGCUCAAGUGCUGAACCACAUAGGAAAUAUCAUGAUGCGUAAGAUUUAAGUACAAUAAUCUGCCUACAAGUCGUCUAUUUUGCUCUGGAUUCAUGAUAAGAUCCUUGUUUCAUUGUUGAGCUUCAAGGACUUAGGCAUUGGAAAUUCCUUGAUUUUAG